This 733-nucleotide small RNA is filed under the name Pongo abelii (Sumatran orangutan). Its description in RNAcentral is "processed transcript". The record is from RNAcentral. Lineage: Eukaryota; Metazoa; Chordata; Mammalia; Primates; Hominidae.
GGAGUCUCUGGUAUAAUUGGUCUGGGGUGCAGACUGGGAAUCGGGAUAUUUAAAAGCUCCCUGGUGAUUAUAGUGUGCAGCAGAAUGUGAGAACCACACCUUGAAACCAUUGUGCCGUGGCCCUACCAAAUGGAUGAGUCAGCAGAUUAAAUCUUCCCCAAAACAUGACAGGCAUUGACAUAUAACAUUUAUUAUUUCUUUUGAUUAUUUUUUCCUGACAGACAGGUGACCAUCUGGCACUCUUUUACAGCUAGGAAACCAAGUUCCAUAGGGUACCAGCUUGCUCAGGGUCAAGAUUCACAUUAGCAUUUAUAGCCAUGGAUGUUGAUUAGCUGUUUGUCACUCCCUGUGUUCAUCUGCCUCCCCAAAGAGGAAGAACCAAGAAGAAACUCUUACUGCUCUCAGGAUGACUGGCCCCCUCCCACCACCUCCUCCAGUAAGCAGAAACGGCAGCACAUCUCGGGCCCUGCCUGCCACCCCUCAGUUGCCAUCCAGGAGUGGAGUAGACAGUCCCAGGAGUGGACCCAGGCCUCCCCUUCCUCCUGACAGGCCCAGUGCUGGGGCACCUCCCCCACCUCCACCAUCAACAUCUAUUAGAAAUGGCUUCCAAGACUCUCCAUGUGAAGAUGAGUGGGAAAGCAGAUUCUACUUCCAUCCGAUUUCCGAUUUGCCACCUCCAGAGCCAUAUGUACAAACGACCAAAAGUUAUCCCAGCAAAUUGGCAAGAAACGAA